UACGAAGGGGGCGAGCGUUGUUCGGAUUUACUGGGCGUAAAGGGCGCGUAGGCGGCCCUCCUUGUCGCGUGUGAAAGCCCCGGGCUCAACCUGGGAAUUGCGCGCGAAACGGGGGGGCUGGAGUUCGGGAGAGGAGCGUGGAAUUCCCAGUGUAGAGGUGAAAUUCGUAGAUAUUGGGAAGAACACCGGUGGCGAAGGCGGCGCUCUGGACCGAGACUGACGCUGAGGCGCGAAAGCGUGGGGAGCAAACAGG
This 253-nucleotide ribosomal RNA is filed under the name uncultured prokaryote. Its description in RNAcentral is "partial 16S ribosomal RNA". It matches the Rfam family "Bacterial small subunit ribosomal RNA", at positions 524 to 776 of the family's 1533-position model. The record is from RNAcentral.